GGUGAUAUCGUAUAGUGGUUAGUAUGACUGGCUUUGACCCAGUCGACCAGAGUUCGAAUCUCUGUAUCACCU
Molecule: transfer RNA, 72 nt
Filed under: Bacteroidales bacterium
Lineage: Bacteria; Pseudomonadati; Bacteroidota; Bacteroidia; Bacteroidales
Description: tRNA-Gln
Rfam family: tRNA
About the family: Transfer RNA (tRNA) molecules are approximately 80 nucleotides in length.
Source: RNAcentral